AUACUCUGGUUUCUCUUCAGACCGAAUAAAUCUUUUGCCUUUUACUAAAGAUUUCUGUGGGGAGGAACGACCAUGAGUCUUAAUCAAUUGUUUGAUGCCUGGCGUUUGCUGGGCU
This is a small nuclear RNA of Spea bombifrons (plains spadefoot toad), 115 nucleotides long. RefSeq annotates it as U5 spliceosomal RNA. The transcript has a single exon. Lineage: Eukaryota; Metazoa; Chordata; Amphibia; Anura; Pelobatidae. The record is from RefSeq and is a predicted model, not a curated record.